GGGUUCCGCCGGAGCGCCGCGGGCGGAGCGUUUUCGCGCUGGCGCACUCUCCGUCUCUUGCGGGGAGCGCGGGCAGCGGGGCCCGCACCGCAGCAGGCAGCCUUCCAGACUCCCCCAGGCAGCCAGACUGUGCUCUUCCCACCCACGCCAGUCCCUUCCCUGGGAGGGGAUGAGGAAUCAGCACUUCCUGUUUGGGUCACUGACAAUAUUCAUCCUUGGGAAAUUUUGCAAAAACACUGACCUUAGCCACUCAAACACUCUUUGCAAGGAAUUUGGCUUGGAAACAGUCUGA
Molecule: long non-coding RNA, 292 nt
Filed under: Ursus maritimus (polar bear)
Lineage: Eukaryota; Metazoa; Chordata; Mammalia; Carnivora; Ursidae
Description: lncRNA (ENSUMAG00000008438.1)
Source: RNAcentral